RNAcentral lists this ribosomal RNA (253 nucleotides) under uncultured bacterium. RNAcentral's name for it is "partial 16S ribosomal RNA". It matches the Rfam family "Bacterial small subunit ribosomal RNA", at positions 524 to 776 of the family's 1533-position model. The record is from RNAcentral.
UACGUAGGGUGCAAGCGUUGUCCGGAAUUAUUGGGCGUAAAGAGCUCGUAGGCGGUCUGUCGCGUCGGAUGUGAAAACCCAGGACUCAACCCUGAGCCUGCAUUCGAUACGGGCAGACUAGAGUUCGGUAGGGGAGACUGGAAUUCCUGGUGUAGCGGUGAAAUGCGCAGAUAUCAGGAGGAACACCGGUGGCGAAGGCGGGUCUCUGGGCCGAUACUGACGCUGAGGAGCGAAAGCGUGGGGAGCGAACAGG